RNAcentral lists this ribosomal RNA (396 nucleotides) under uncultured bacterium. RNAcentral's name for it is "bacterial SSU rRNA". It matches the Rfam family "Bacterial small subunit ribosomal RNA", at positions 8 to 407 of the family's 1533-position model. The record is from RNAcentral.
AGAGUUUGAUCCUGGCUCAGGACGAACGCUGGCGGCGUGCUUAACACAUGCAAGUCGAACGGUGAAGUCCCUUCGGGGGCGGAUCAGUGGCGAACGGGUGAGUAACACGUGGGCAAUCUGCCCCUCACUGUGGGAUAACUCCGGGAAACCGGGGCUAAUACCGCAUAUGAAGCCUGGCGGCAUCGCCGGGUUUGGAAAGUUUUUCGGUGAGGGAUGAGCCCGCGGCCUAUCAGCUUGUUGGUGAGGUAAUGGCUCACCAAGGCGACGACGGGUAGCCGGCCUGAGAGGGCGACCGGCCACACUGGGACUGAGACACGGCCCAGACUCCUACGGGAGGCAGCAGUGGGGAAUAUUGGGCAAUGGGCGAAAGCCUGACCCAGCGACGCCGCGUGCGGG